CAUACGGAGUACAUAAAUGUUAUGGAAAAAUUAUUUGUAUCCAGUUUUGAGAGACCUAUCUCUCAAUUUGUUCUUUGAAAACUGAAUAUCGACAUUGAAAAAUUAAAUUUAUUAAUAUUUCAAAGUUUAGAUCAACCUAUAGAAUAUAUCAUACAAUAGACAAACAAUAGGUCUUAUACU
RNAcentral lists this unclassified non-coding RNA (180 nucleotides) under Mycoplasmopsis arginini. RNAcentral's name for it is "Mycoplasma arginini miscellaneous RNA". Lineage: Bacteria; Bacillati; Mycoplasmatota; Mycoplasmoidales; Metamycoplasmataceae. The record is from RNAcentral.